CGGGUGAUUGUAGGAGACUUCUAGAAGUUGGUUGAUCCUGCCAGUAGUCAUAUGCCCGUCUCAAAGAUUAAGCCAUGCAUGUGUAAGUAUAAGCGAUUGUACUGUGAGACUGCGAACGGCUCAUUAUAUCAGUAAUAAUUUCUUCGGUAGUUUCUUUUAUAUGGAUACCUGCAGUAAUUCUGGAAAUAAUACAUGCUGUAAGAGCCCUGUAUGGGGCUGCACUUAUUAGAUUGAAGCCGAUUUUAUUGGUGAAUCAUGAUAAUUGAGCAGAUUGACUUUUUGGUCGAUGAAUCGUUUGAGUUUCUGCCCCAUCAGUUGUCGACGGUAGUGUAUUGGACUACGGUGACUAUAACGGGUGACGGAGAGUUAGGGCUCGACUCCGGAGAGGGAGCCUGAGAGACGGCUACCAUAUCCAAGGAUAGCAGCAGGCGCGUAAAUUACCCACUGUGGACUCCACGAGGUAGUGACGAGAAAUAUCGAUGCGAAGCGUGUAUGCGUUUUGCUAUCGGAAUGAGAGCAAUGUAAAACCCUCAUCGAGGAUCAACUGGAGGGCAAGUCUGGUGACCAGCAGCCGCCGGUUUAUUUUCAGCUUUCCAGAAUGCCAUAUGGCUAAAGUUGUUGCAGUUAAAAAGCUCGUAGUUGAAUUUCUGGCAUGGGCGACCGGUGCCUUUCCCUGAAUGGGGAUUGAUUGUCUGUGUUGCCUUGGCCAUCUUUUUCUUUUCUUUAUUGAUGAGAAAUCUUUCACUGUAAUCAAAGCAGAGUGUUCCAAGCAGGUCGUAUGACCGGUAUGUUUAUUAUGGGAUGAUAAGAUAGGACUUGGGUGCUAUUUUGUUGGUUUGCACGCCUGAGUAAUGGUUAAUAGGAACAGUUGGGGGUAUUCGUAUUUAGGAGCUAGAGGUGAAAUUCUUGGAUUUCCGAAAGACGAACUAGAGCGAAAGGCAUUUACCAAGCAUGUUUUCAUUAAUCAAGAACGAAAGUCUGGGGAUCGAAGAUGAUUAGAUACCAUCGUAGUCUAGACCGUAAACGAUGCCGACUUGCGAUUGUUGGGUGCUUUAUUAUAUGGGCCUCAGCAGCAGCACAUGAGAAAUCAAAGUCUUUGGGGUUCGGGGGGGAGUAUGGUUCGCAAGGCUGAAACUUAAAGGAAUUGACGGAAGGGCACCACCAGGAGUGGAGCCUGCGGCUUAAUUUGACUCAACACGGGACAACUUACCAGGUCCAGACAUAGUUAGGAUUGACAGAUUGAGAAGCUCUUUUCAUGGAUUCUCAUGGAUUGGGUGGUUCAUGGCCGUUCUUAGUUGGUGGAGUGAUUUGUCUGGUUAAUUCCGUUAACGAACGAGACCUCGGCCUACUAAAUAGUGCGUGGUAUGGCAACAUAGUACGUUUUUACUUCUUAGAGGGACAUGUCCGGUUUACGGGCAGGAAGUUCGAGGCAAUAACAGGUCUGUGAUGCCCUUAGAUGUUCUGGGCCGCACGCGCGCUACACUGAUGGGUUCAUCGGGUUUUAAUUUCAAUUUUUUGGAAUUGAGUGCUUGGUCGGAAGGCCUGGCUAAUCCUUGGAACGCUCAUCGUGCUGGGGCUAGAUUUUUGCAAUUAUUAAUCUCCAACGAGGAAUUCCUAGUAAACGCAAGUCAUCAGCUUGCAUUGAAUACGUCCCUGCCCUUUGUACACACCGCCCGUCGCACCUACCGAUUGAACGGUCCGAUGAAACCAUGGGAUGUUUCUGUUUGGAUUGAUUUUUGGACAGAGGCAGAACUCGGGUGAAUCUUAUUGUUUAGAGGAAGGUGAAGUCGUAACAAGGUUUCCGUAGGUGAACCUGCGGAAGGAUCAUUAAUCUGCUAAAAACUCGAGCCUCAGAAGUUCCUGUU
Molecule: ribosomal RNA, 1865 nt
Filed under: Aurantiochytrium sp. CMFRIMBTDJMVL11
Lineage: Eukaryota; Bigyra; Thraustochytrida; Thraustochytriidae
Description: SSU rRNA
Rfam family: Eukaryotic small subunit ribosomal RNA
Source: RNAcentral